AACGAACGCUGGCGGCAUGCCUAACACAUGCGAGUCGAACGAAGCCUUCGGGCUUAGUGGCGCACGGGUGCGUAACGCGUGGGAAUCUGCCCCUUGCUUCGGAAUAACAGUUAGAAAUGACUGCUAAUACCGGAUGAAGUCUUCGGACCAAAGAUUUAUCGGCAAGGGAUGAGCCCGCGUAGGAUUAGGUAGUUGGUGGGGUAAAGGCCUACCAAGCCGACGAUCCUUAGCUGGUCUGAGAGGAUGAUCAGCCACACUGGGACUGAGACACGGCCCAGACUCCUACGGGAGGCAGCAGUGGGGAAUAUUGGACAAUGGACGCAAGUCUGAUCCAGCAAUGCCGCGUGAGUGAUGAAGGCCUUAGGGUUGUAAAGCUCUUUUACCAGGGAUGAUAAUGACAGUACCUGGAGAAUAAGCUCCGGCUAACUCCGUG
RNAcentral lists this ribosomal RNA (433 nucleotides) under uncultured bacterium. RNAcentral's name for it is "partial 16S ribosomal RNA". It matches the Rfam family "Bacterial small subunit ribosomal RNA", at positions 29 to 507 of the family's 1533-position model. The record is from RNAcentral.